Globicephala melas (long-finned pilot whale) is the source of this 5514-nucleotide non-coding RNA. NCBI's taxonomy places the organism in Eukaryota, Metazoa, Chordata, Mammalia, Artiodactyla, Delphinidae. The record is from RefSeq and is a predicted model, not a curated record.
CGCGUCAACUUCCGGGCGGGUGCCCGCCAGCACGGCCUCCGCCGCUCCCCUCCUUUGGCCCCUUUGUGUCCCCGCAGUGUCGAGGCACGGGCCCUGGCACGUCCUUUUUCGAGGCAGGGAGCAUCGUAGUGCAGAGAGCCUCUCACUGUGGGCGGGCGCGCCGCCCGCAGGGGGUUAGCGUGGGGAACGUGCCUGCGCGUGCUGGGAUAGUUCAUUUAAAGCUCCCAUCCCCACGAGGUGGUGGUUUCUACCAAUAUGAAUCUUUUCAACCUGGACCGUUUUCGCUUUGAGAAAAGGAAUAAGAUUGAGGAAGCGCCCGAAGCAACCCCUCAACCCUCCCUGCCUGGCCCUUCUUCACCAAUUUCUCUUAGUGCUGAAGAGGAGAAUGCUGAAGGGGAAGUUAGCAGGGCAGGCACCCCUGAUUCAGAUAUAACUGAAAAAACAGAAGAUUCUAGUGUUCCAGAAACCCCAGAAAAUGAAAGAAAAGCAAGUAUAUCAUAUUUCAAGAAUCAAAGAGGAAUUCAAUAUAUUGAUUUGUCUUCAGAUAGUGAAGAUGUUGUUUCCCCAGAUUGCUCCAGUACAGUUCAAGAGAAAAAAUUCAGCAAAGACACGGUGAUUAUAGUUUCUGAGCCAUCUGAAGAUGAAGAGUCCCAAGGCCUUCCUACCAUGGCAGGUAGAAAUAAUAAUGAUAUUUCAGAAUUGGAAGACCUUUCGGAAUUGGAAGACCUUAAAGAUGCUAAACUUCAGACCUUGAAGGAACUUUUUCCACAGAGAAGUGACAGUGAUUUACUUAAGUUAAUUGAAUCAACCAGCACUAUGGAUGGAGCAAUUGCUGCUGCCUUGCUGAUGUUUGGUGAUGCAGAAGGUGGUGGACCUAGGAAAAGAAAAUUAUCUUCUUCUUCAGAGCCAUUUGAGGAAGAUGAAUUUAAUGAUGAUCAGUCUAUGAAAAAGAAGAGAUUGGAUCAAGGAGAGGAGUCAAAUGAGUCUGCAGAAUCUAGCAGUAAUUGGGAAAAACAGGAAAGUAUUGUGUUGAAAUUGCAAAAGGAAUUUCCCAAUUUUGAUAAAGAGGAAUUAAGGGAAGUACUCAAGGAACAUGAAUGGAUGUACACAGAGGCUUUAGAAUCUUUAAAAGUGUUUGCGGAAGACCAAGAUAUGCAAUAUGCUUCACCAAGUGAAUUUCCAAAUGGAAAAGAAGUUUCUUCAAGGAGUCAAAAUUAUCCUAAAAACGCAGCUAAAACAAAACUGAAACAGAAAUGUUCCAUGAAACCACAAAAUGGUUUUAACAAGAAACGUAAAAAAACUGUAUUUAAUCCUAAAAGAGUUAUUGAAGACUCUGAAUAUGAUUCAGGUUCUGAUGUCGGUAGUUCAUUAGACGAGGACUAUAGUAGUGGUGAAGAAGUGAUGGAGGAUGGCUAUAAAGGUAAAAUUCUUCACUUCCUUCAAGAUGCUUCAAUUGGUGAACUUACUUUGAUUCCUCAGUGUUCUCAGAAAAAGGCUCAGAAGAUAACAGAACUCCGGCCCUUUAAUAGUUGGGAAGCUCUGUUCACAAAGAUGUCCAAAACGAAUGGCUUAUCAGAAGAUUUGAUAUGGCACUGUAAAACACUGAUCCAAGAAAGGGAUGUAGUUAUAAGGCUUAUGAACAAAUGUGAAGACAUUUCAAAUAAAUUGACAAAACAAGUUACCAUGCUCACUGGAAAUGGAGGUGGAUGGAACAUAGAACAACCCUCCAUUCUAAACCAAAGUUUGUCACUCAAGCCCUAUCAGAAGGUUGGUUUGAAUUGGCUGGCAUUGGUACAUAAACAUGGACUUAAUGGCAUUUUGGCAGAUGAAAUGGGCCUGGGAAAAACUAUUCAAGCGAUUGCAUUCCUAGCGUACCUCUAUCAGGAGGGUAAUAAAGGUCCUCAUUUGAUUGUUGUUCCAGCAUCAACUAUAGAUAACUGGCUAAGGGAAGUUAAUUUAUGGUGUCCCACUUUAAAGGUGCUCUGUUACUAUGGUUCUCAAGAAGAACGUAAACAGAUUAGAUAUAACAUUCAUAGUAAAUACGAAGAAUACAAUGUAAUCGUGACCACGUAUAAUUGUGCAAUCAGCAGUUCUGAUGAUCGUAGUCUGUUUCGUCGUCUGAAAUUGAAUUACGCAAUUUUUGAUGAGGGCCAUAUGCUGAAGAAUAUGGGCUCCAUCCGCUACCAGCACCUUAUGACAAUUAAUGCAAAUAACCGUUUGCUGCUCACAGGCACACCUGUGCAGAAUAACCUGUUAGAACUCAUGUCGCUGUUGAAUUUUGUUAUGCCGCACAUGUUCAGUAGUAGCACCAGUGAAAUACGAAGAAUGUUUUCUUCUAAGACAAAAUCAGCAGAUGAGCAAACUAUAUAUGAAAAGGAGAGAAUAGCACAUGCAAAACAAAUUAUAAAACCAUUUAUUCUCAGAAGAGUAAAAGAAGAGGUUCUCAAGCAGCUACCCCCCAAGAAAGAUCGAAUUGAGUUGUGUGCAAUGUCAGAGAAGCAGGAGCAACUCUAUUUGGGUCUUUUCAACAGAUUGAAAAAAUCUAUCAAUAACAUGGAAAAAAACACAGAAAUGUGCAAUGUCAUGAUGCAGUUGAGAAAAAUGGCCAAUCAUCCUUUAUUACAUCGCCAAUAUUACACAGCUGAAAAACUCAAGGAAAUGUCUCAGCUUAUGCUAAAGGAACCUACACAUUGUGAGGCUAACCCUGACCUGAUCUUUGAAGAUAUGGAAGUUAUGACAGACUUUGAAUUACAUGUACUUUGUAAACAGUAUCGACACAUUAAUAACUUCCAGUUAGACAUGGACUUGAUUUUAGAUUCUGGAAAAUUUCGAGUUUUAGGCUGCAUCUUGUCUGAAUUGAAACAGAAGGGUGAUAGAGUUGUAUUAUUUAGCCAAUUUACCAUGAUGCUGGAUAUUUUAGAGGUUCUCUUAAAACAUCAUCAGCAUAGGUACCUCAGAUUAGAUGGAAAGACUCAGAUUUCUGAAAGGAUUCAUCUAAUUGAUGAGUUUAAUACCGAUAUGGAUAUCUUUGUGUUUCUGCUGUCAACAAAAGCUGGUGGCCUAGGAAUAAACCUGACUUCAGCAAAUGUUGUUAUACUUCACGAUAUUGACUGUAAUCCUUACAAUGACAAACAAGCAGAAGAUAGAUGCCAUAGAGUAGGCCAGACUAAGAAAUGAUGUUUAAAAGUGACGUGCUCAGAAAAUGUCAAUCUCAAGUAGUUUGAAUAAAAGAAUUUAAAUUUAUGGAUGUAUUUGUUAAACAAUUUUCAAAUUAUUCUUAUUGCAUUCUAAGGUGACGAAGGGAGUAUGCCAGCAGAUAUAGCCACAUUACUAAAAACAUCAAUGGGCCUGUGAAAUAAGAAUUGUUAAUUCCUAACUGAUGAUGAAAUAUCAACUUGGUGCACUCAAGGACAUUUACAUUAUGAUGACCAUGGGGUUUAUGAACAUUUAUAACUUUUUAUAAUUUCCAUAUUACAUUUCUCAUAGUAUGGACAACUUUUUUGCCACUAACUGAAUUCUCCAGAUGCUCACAUGUGAAAUUUCAAAAAAAAGCCACAGAUACGUAGUCUUGAAGAUGUUAAAUAAUCAUUUUACAAAACAGUUUUCUGAAUGGGGAUUAGUUGGUGAUUGUUUGUAACAAAUACGCUAAUGCUUUAGAAAUGUCAGUAUUUUUGUAAUUAUUUCUACCUCCAAAUAUAUAUAUAUAUUGUCUUUCACUGGAUAAUAUGUGUAGAUUUUUACAUGUGCCUUAUUUGACAAUGCUUAUGUCUUGUUUUUGCUCGUCUCAUUUGAAGUUCUUUUUUAUUAUGUUAAAGAAUGCAGCUGUAUAGAUUAUAUAGCUUUCAUUUUAUUGCUAUUUGAGACAGAUGUUCACCACUGUCAACAAGAACUCAACAUGAAUUUAAAGGUGGCAUUCCAUAUACUAACACCCCCAGGUCCUCCCAAGUACUUCUGUUAAAACAGAUUUGUUUGGCUAGGCACUAAGUUGUUUUCCAGUGAAUAGUAACUAAAGAAGCCCUUAUCUUGCUCCAUGGAUUAAUUCCUUCUGUUCAUUUCCCAACUGCACUAAUUGUGCUAUUACUCUGCCUAUUCUUGUGCAUGUUUUCAUUGAUUUCCCUCUCCUGGCUUUUGCUUCUCUUGAAACUGUUGCCCAGUCAUUUCUGCUCCAGUUCUCUUUACUCUCUAAAUAGUAGUUUAUUCCUGCCACAUCUCCGCACAUCAGCAAAAUAUUGGUGACAUUUUUCUAGCCUGGCAGAACAGAUUAACAGGCUAUUUCACUUCAAAGCAGACUGAAUGUGACUUCAUUUCAAGGCAGCAUUAGGUACUGCAUGGAAAUAGGUCAUUAACUUUAAAUUCUUAUCAAAAUAUAACUUAGCAGUUUGCAGAAUUUCCAGUAUGGGACCUCCUAAAGAGAGCCAUUGUUCAAUUCCAAAUCAGUGUGGGUGACAAAGUGAAAUUUAGAAGAGGUAAAGUUGUCUACUUGAUAUUUAACUCUUUAUUAAGUCUUUCUUUAAAUUUUUGCCUGUCAGUCUAUAUUGCUGUUUUAUUAUACAUCAGUUUCUUUGUAUAACUUGUGAGUUUCAUGUGUUUUGUUUUAUUAUGUAAAUAUUAUUAUAAAUAAACUUAUUUAUAAAUCAAAGAUUUGUUAAUUUUUGGAGAUUAUACUUUCAAGACCUCCUGACUUCCUAAGUUUUUAAGGUGAUAUAAUCCUCGACUUAGAAGGCUAAUGAAGCUCUUACAUUGAUUCUUCAGAUACUGUAGACUCUGAAAGCUGAUGAGUCAGUAGACUUAGCCAAUCUUGCAAGUGUAUUGAAUAUACUCAACACAUUUUAGUGUAAUGGGCUGAAGGGACCUGCAAAUAGUAUUAAUACCUCCUUCUGCAUCACAGUACCGAAAUCGCUUAGUGAAAUGUUGAGAAUAUUCUAAAAAUCGCAUAAUGGAUUUCUCAUAACUUUCCUGUACUAAUGUAUCUUCAAUGAUAGGCUGUUUCUUUUGUUGUCGUUGUUAAAUCCAUAUUUUUAUUUUAAUGAAUGUAGUUGGGUUCUCCCUGUAAUGCCAUAUUAUGUUUUUGGCAUAAUAAAAAUAUUUGUGAUCAUAAGUUGUAUUUUCGCACCCUUAGUAGUUUCUAAACUUUCAUCCCUUUACCCUUAAAAAUGCAUAAUAUGGAAGGACUUCCCCGGUGGUGCAGUGGUUAAGAAUCCACCUGCCAAUGCAGGGGACACGGGUUCGAGCCCUGGUCCAGGAAGAUCAUACAUACCGCGGAGCAACUAAGCCCGUGCACCACAACUACUGAGCCUGCGUGCCACAACUACUGAAGCCCAUGCACUCUAGGGCCCACGUGCUACAACUACUGAAGCCCAGGUGCCUAGAGCCCGUGCUCCACAACAGGAGAAGCCAUGGCAAUGAGAAGCCCACACACCACAAUGAAGAGUAGCCCCAGCUCAGCACAACUAGAGAAAGCCCACGCACAGCAACAAAGACCCAAAAAGAAAAAACCAUAAUAUUGAGCACAAA